RNAcentral lists this ribosomal RNA (253 nucleotides) under uncultured bacterium. RNAcentral's name for it is "partial 16S ribosomal RNA". It matches the Rfam family "Bacterial small subunit ribosomal RNA", at positions 524 to 776 of the family's 1533-position model. The record is from RNAcentral.
CACGUAGGGCGCAAGCGUUGUCCGGAAUUAUUGGGCGUAAAGAGCUCGUAGGCGGUCUGUUGCGUCUGCUGUGAAAACUCGGGGCUUAACCCCGAGCCUGCAGUGGAUACGGGCAGACUAGAGGUAGGUAGGGGAGAAUGGAAUUCCCGGUGUAGCGGUGAAAUGCGCAGAUAUCGGGAGGAACACCGGUGGCGAAGGCGGUUCUCUGGGCCGGUACUGACGCUGAGGAGCGAAAGCGUGGGGAGCAAACAGG